AUAGCCCUCCUACCAGAAGGAGAGAGAGAGAAAGAGCCUUUAACUUUAAGGUUCUCUCAUCUCUAUCUUCCUCUUUUCUUUCUCUUUCUCGAUUCUCUCUCUAGUCUGAUCCAGGGUGGGGAAUUUUGUGGAAGGGGCUCGAUGAAUGGUCGCAGGACUCUUCUUGGUGGUGUACCUAGUAGAGGAUUCUAGGUUGUUGAUUAUUCUUUGAUGAUCUUGAUUGGAUGAGAAGUUACUAUGAUUGGACCAACCCAGGCCAUUGGGCAUUACCACCCAAUCAACUCUAUUCCACCCUCUUAGUCUCUCUCUCCUCUCUUCUUCACUCUUCUCUCUCUACGUUUUCUCUCUCUCCUCCCCCUAGAUACCUUAUGGAUCAAUGGAGGGUUUAGGUACUUUGUGAUUUAUCGACCCUAUGAAGGGUCCCAGACCUAUGUUAU
RNAcentral lists this long non-coding RNA (437 nucleotides) under Phoenix dactylifera (date palm). RNAcentral describes it as "long non-coding RNA (PDAC_LNC011560)". The record is from RNAcentral. Lineage: Eukaryota; Viridiplantae; Streptophyta; Magnoliopsida; Arecales; Arecaceae.